Molecule: ribosomal RNA, 200 nt
Filed under: uncultured bacterium
Lineage: Bacteria
Description: partial 16S ribosomal RNA
Rfam family: Bacterial small subunit ribosomal RNA
Source: RNAcentral
AGAGUUUGAUCCUGGCUCAGAGUUAACGCUGGCAGCGUGCAUAACACAUGCAAGUCGAGCGGGACUGUUUGAGAUUAUAUCAAUGGCAGUUUAGCGGCAGACGAGUGAGUAACACGUAAGAAAUCUACCCCGAAGAAGGGAACAACUUGCCGAAAGGUGAGCUAAUACCCUAUAUAAUCCCGGAACGGCAUCGUAUUGGG